RNAcentral lists this transfer RNA (84 nucleotides) under Desmophyllum pertusum. RNAcentral's name for it is "tRNA-Gln". Lineage: Eukaryota; Metazoa; Cnidaria; Anthozoa; Scleractinia; Caryophylliidae. The record is from RNAcentral.
GGUCAGAACUGGACUAUGGCCUAAAUGGUUAGGGCAUUGGACUCUGGAUUGAGCGGUACAGGUUCAAGUCCUGGCCCGUGAUCA